GGCAGGAUGGCCGAGCGGUCUAAGGCGCCAGACUCAAGAUCUGUGCGUGGGUUCGAAUCCCACUCCUGUCA
Symsagittifera roscoffensis is the source of this 71-nucleotide non-coding RNA. Lineage: Eukaryota; Metazoa; Xenacoelomorpha; Acoela; Convolutidae. The record is from the annotation of a RefSeq genome assembly.